GGUCGAUGUGUUUACAAACUGCCUGAUUUUAGACAUGGACUGUAUAUAUAGUUUUUGGUUUGGUUUUGCAGGGAGGGGAGAUAAUCUGUCCAGAGGGGUUUACGUUCUUGCUGACCCGUAGUAAACAACCAAGAUGUGUUCCACCAGAUCCGACAGGUUACCCGGAGCUUGACGUCACUACACAAAGCGACACCAAGGCGUGCGACCAGUCACGACGUGACUGUGCUACAAGCAGAUAUAAGGACUAUUCGGAACUUGUUUUUCGUUGUAAGACAUACAGCUUGAUCUACGAAGCGCCCCAGGCAAUGGAAGAUAUCAAGAUUAAAUACACGCGGAGUAGAACCGGGGAUGCGUGUAAAAUGCACUGUUAUAAUGAAAAAUUCUGCGUUGGAAUUUGGGUGGAGCAAACAGCAUCAGCGCUCACCUGUUUCUACCUCAUAUUGGAUGGUGUAGCUGCAGCUAAGACGGCCUUCAAAAAGAAAGGAAUAUUGCUCAGACGGAAAUGCGUACAAUAAAAACAGAAGGCUACACACCACUAUUAAUUACCCGAAGCGAGCGAUAUCCUGUUAAAAAUACACGUGGGAUGACGAUUUUUGUGAUGAACUAUGGUAGCCAAAGAGGCUUCGCGUUAUGUUUGAAACAAACAAAUUAGUCCUCAAGUUGUUUUACUUCGGAUUUACAUUAAGGUUACACACCAACAUUUAUUACUCUAUGCAGUUCAAUACAAUUUCUAUGUCGUAAUAUAUUCUGUGAAAAACACACUACCGAGAGGGUCAUGCGACUAUUAACUUUAGUGAGUGUUCUCAACUGAUAGGUACAGUGUAAAACAUCAGCAUAGGUUGACCACUAAACGUUUUAGACAGCAGACGUAUGGCAGAGUACCGCCUCGAGUUGGCGUUACACCAGUGUCACUAUAUCACUUACACAGUUUUGGUCAGUUAGUACUACAGAAAGCAAGUAACUUCAAACAAAUGUGCCAUUUAAAUACUGCAGAGGUCAGUCUACUUGUAAU
Long non-coding RNA from Gigantopelta aegis, 1012 nucleotides. RefSeq lists it as uncharacterized. NCBI's taxonomy places the organism in Eukaryota, Metazoa, Mollusca, Gastropoda, Neomphalida, Peltospiridae. The transcript is spliced from 3 exons. The record is from RefSeq and is a predicted model, not a curated record.